Molecule: ribosomal RNA, 250 nt
Filed under: uncultured bacterium
Lineage: Bacteria
Description: partial 16S ribosomal RNA
Rfam family: Bacterial small subunit ribosomal RNA
Source: RNAcentral
UACAGAGGUGGCAAACGUUGUCCGGAUUUAUUGGGUGUAAAGGGCAUGUAGGUGGUCUUGUAAGUCAAAGGUGAAAUGGCUCGGCUCAACCGAGUCAUUGCCUUUGAAACUGCCGGACUUGAGUACGGAAGAGGAGAGCGGAAUUCCCAGUGUAGCGGUGAAAUGCGUAGAUAUUGGGAGGAACACCGGUGGCGAAAGCGGCUCUCUGGUCCGAAACUGACACUGAGAUGCGAAAGCCAGGGGAGCAAAC